UACGUAGGGGGCAAGCGUUGUCCGGAAUCAUUGGGCGUAAAGAGCGUGUAGGCGGUCCGGUAAGUCGGCUGUGAAAGUCCAGGGCUCAACCCUGGGAUGCCGGUCGAUACUGCCGGACUAGAGUUCGGAAGAGGAGAAUGGAAUUCCUGGUGUAGCGGUGAAAUGCGCAGAUAUCAGGAAGAACACCAAUGGCGAAAGCAGCUCUCUGGGACGGUACUGACGCUGAGACGCGAAAGCGUGGGGAGCAAACAGG
Molecule: ribosomal RNA, 253 nt
Filed under: uncultured bacterium
Lineage: Bacteria
Description: partial 16S ribosomal RNA
Rfam family: Bacterial small subunit ribosomal RNA
Source: RNAcentral